RNAcentral lists this ribosomal RNA (277 nucleotides) under uncultured prokaryote. RNAcentral describes it as "partial 16S ribosomal RNA". It matches the Rfam family "Bacterial small subunit ribosomal RNA", at positions 524 to 801 of the family's 1533-position model. The record is from RNAcentral.
UACGUAGGGGGCUAGCGUUAUCCGGAAUUACUGGGCGUAAAGGGUGCGUAGGUGGUUUCUUAAGUCAGAGGUGAAAGGCUACGGCUCAACCGUAGUAAGCCUUUGAAACUGAGAAACUUGAGUGCAGGAGAGGAGAGUGGAAUUCCUAGUGUAGCGGUGAAAUGCGUAGAUAUUAGGAGGAACACCAGUUGCGAAGGCGGCUUACUGGGCUGGCCCUGACGCUGAGGCGCGAAAGCGUGGGGAGCAAACAGGAUUAGAUACCCUGGUAGUCCCUGAG